Molecule: ribosomal RNA, 263 nt
Filed under: uncultured archaeon
Lineage: Archaea
Description: partial 16S ribosomal RNA
Rfam family: Archaeal small subunit ribosomal RNA
Source: RNAcentral
ACACGACUACAUUAGAUACCCCUGUAGUCCUAGCCGUAAACGAUACUCGCUAGGUGUCGGCCACGGUGCGACCGUUGUCGGUGCCGUAGGGAAGCCGUGAAGCGAGCCACCUGGGAAGUACGGCCGCAAGGCUGAAACUUAAAGGAAUUGGCGGGAGCACCGCAACGGGAGGAGCGUGCGGUUCAAUUGGAUUCAACGCCGGACAACUCACCAGGAGCGACGGUUACAUGAAGGCCAGGCUGAUGACCUUGCCUGAUUUUCCG